Molecule: ribosomal RNA, 433 nt
Filed under: uncultured bacterium
Lineage: Bacteria
Description: partial 16S ribosomal RNA
Rfam family: Bacterial small subunit ribosomal RNA
Source: RNAcentral
AACGAACGCUGGCGGCAGGCCUAACACAUGCAAGUCGAGCGAGGACUUCGGUUCUAGCUGCGGACGGGUGAGUAACGCGUGGGAAUGUGCCCUUCUCUACGGAAUAGCCCUGGGAAACUGGGAGUAAUACCGUAUACGCCCUAUUGGGGAAAGAUUUAUCGGAGAAGGAUCAGCCCGCGUUGGAUUAGGUAGUUGGUGGGGUAAUGGCCUACCAAGCCGACGAUCCAUAGCUGGUUUGAGAGGAUGAUCAGCCACACUGGGACUGAGACACGGCCCAGACUCCUACGGGAGGCAGCAGUGGGGAAUCUUAGACAAUGGGGGCAAACCUGAUCUAGCCAUGCCGCGUGAGUGAUGAAGGCCUUAGGGUUGUAAAGCUCUUUCAGCUGGGAAGAUAAUGACGGUACCAGCAGAAGAAGCCCCGGCUAACUACGUG